This is a long non-coding RNA of Photinus pyralis (common eastern firefly), 1263 nucleotides long. RefSeq lists it as uncharacterized. The record is from RefSeq and is a predicted model, not a curated record. NCBI's taxonomy places the organism in Eukaryota, Metazoa, Arthropoda, Insecta, Coleoptera, Lampyridae. The transcript has 3 exons.
UUCUUGAUGAAACUUUCUGCAUGACUUUGUAGAUCAGCACAUUUUUAAAGCAUUGACUGGAAUUCAGGGAAAAUUAAAAUCAUCGUUUGGAAUAUUCCAAAGCACUACACUACAAGUCAUGCAGAGCCCAUCAAGAAUUCGUUUGUUUGCGAAAUGUGUAUCCUUUUUCUUUAUUAUUUUUAUAUAAAACUUUUUGAGGGAAACUCAUAUUCUCUAGCUUUAAGGCGUCAUCCCUUCAAAAAGUGCCGUACCCAUUUGCACCAAGAAAUACUAUCAAAUCCAGAAAACCGAAUAAGUAAGGGACCUAUUCCGGAAGUCGCUCGGAUCUUAUUGACUGUGGCCAUGGAAGCCUCCGCUGUGACAUUAAUCAUUUAGCUUAAUACCAGAGGAUUCCAAUUCUGCAAAACAGACGAGAACAAUCCAGAUUUUUUUAAUUUUGAGCGUGUUACGGUCACACUCCAUUAGGAUGUAGCGCCAAUGCACUCGUACUACGUUUACCUAUAGUUGCACGCGCACCUGUAUCGCCCUUAACAACUGACCCCCCGCGCGCUACCAGAAGCGACUGGCAGAGGCCGCAAGGAGAUCCUUUCUCGAAAAAAAAAUGCAUUAGCUCUGUUUGCCUAGGGCACACGGUAUAUAUGUAUAGUUGUGUGGGUAAAUAAAACAAUUCUUUGUUAGUGCAGUGAAACUCUUCUCGCUUGAGUACCACCAUCAAAACAGCCUCCCCUCUCCAACAACUGGCGCCCAACUAGUAAGACAGACAUCACGACUCCACCAUGCAGCGGAUCCUUUGCGAACUGCACCGCCAGGUUUGACGCGGAAAGCGACGUGCAAGCUUUUAUGGACAACAUCACGACGUACAAAGACUGCACGGCGGUUUCCGAAGAGAACGUCCUAAGAGGUAUGUCGAUGCUAUUAGAAAGAGACGCCGCCGCAGAAACAACUCCACCAGUUACUUCGCUAGCUAUUUGAGACGGAAUAGGGCCCCAGUGACCCGGCCGAACUGUUCAUUUCGAGAAACUGGCCCUCAACUUGUGAUAAUCCACACUUAUAGUUAGGCAACACACCUUUACAUCUGAAACAAAAAUAUGAUAUGCUCUGUAUAUAACCAAUCGACCGUUUUGCGCACAUGCCGAAUACUAGGGGAUUUUCGUAACGAAGCUCAGGGGAAAAAAGAAUGUGGCAGAAGAAAGAAAAUGGAGACGUGGUUGAUGGAGGGCAUCGCGCUUUCCUGGGUUUUUAUUCUUGAUUAUUUAUUUUGUU